AUGAUAGGAAGCAAAAAGAAAAACAAAAAACAAAUUAAUCAAAUCAAAUUAACAAAAGAAAGAAUGAAUCCGGGUGGGCGUGCGUGGUUCGAGUCAGAGGCAUGCGAGCUCCUUGACGACGUUGACGGACGUGCCGACGGCGUUCUUGCAGACGGCCAUGGUCUUGUUGUUCGUGCCGGUGUACUUGAGGUUGACGUUGACGAGCUGCAGGCCCUGGCAGGGCACGUUGUUGACGCAGUUGAGCGUGACGGCCUCGGGCGUGGCGGAGGUCCCGACGAUGUUCUUGAAGACGAUGUCGGCGACGACCACCUUGGAGGCGCCGGGGGCCUUGGCGCAGAUGUUGUUGGGGCAGUACUUCUGGUCGAUGACGAUGGGGUAGGAGACGUUGUCCAUUUUCACGUCGUCGUACACGAAGCGGGUGGCCCUGAGCGCCGACUUGGAGUCCUCGUACGACUUGAUCCGGAGCCCGUUGGUGGCGCCCUUGAUGGUGCAGUUGGUCACCUGGAUGUCCUCCACGUCCUUCUCGUCCUUGUACCGCCCCAGGCUGCCCACGCUGAUGCCGUGGCCGGGGCCGCACCGGGAGCCGUGGAUCUUGACGUGCUUGGUCCCGGGCCCGAUGGAGAUGCAGUCGUCGCCGACGCCGAUGUUGGUCGCCUUGAUGGUCACGUCCUCCGAGUCGCCCAUGUGGAUGCCGUCCGUGUUGGGGCUGUUCCCCGGCGCCGUGAUCUCCACGUUCUCCACCAGCACCGUCUUGCACUUGAAGAGGUUGAGGUGGAAGAACUUGGCGUUCUUGAGCGUGAUGCCCCGGAUCGUCGCGUUGUUCACGUAGUCCAGCACCAGGCUCUGCAUGCGUGCAUGCACGUGUGA
RNAcentral lists this ribosomal RNA (867 nucleotides) under Triticum aestivum (bread wheat). RNAcentral's name for it is "partial small subunit ribosomal RNA". Lineage: Eukaryota; Viridiplantae; Streptophyta; Magnoliopsida; Poales; Poaceae. The record is from RNAcentral.